AUGAAUACCAUUGAUGGUUCAUGCCCUACAGGUGAGGCCAUGCCUCAAGAAGUGGAUUCAAGGAGGGAGAAGUUGGGAAGAAUCCUGCAAGCAAGAGCACCCUCCCCACCUCCCCUGUUCUCUCCCUAUGCCUAUCCUUCCACCCCAUCCAUCAGAUGGGUAGAGGGGUCUCCCCAGGAUGAAUGUGGAGGGACGGCAGGGCCAGCAGGAGAGGUCCCUGGGCAGAGCUGGCCCCUGGUUGGAGCCCAGCAUCUCCAAACUGUAGCCCAGAGAAGGAGGCACAUCAGGACCCAGGAAGAACCCCUCAGAGCUGGAGUUGACUUGACCAACUUUCCCCGAGAUGAGAUGGACUCCGGAGAGGAUGGUGAGAUGGGAGGUCAGAGGGGCCUGCAGGGGGCAUCUUUUUUUCAUCAUGGAUAGGCACACAGAACCAGGACCGGAGGCAGUGGAAGGGCCUCGGGUCACUGCCUGUCACUGACCUGAAGGACAGGCCAACUCAGAUCUCCCUGGAAGCUGGCUCUCCUGUUCUGACUGGAGACUGAGACCCCAACUAGGAUGUGAGCAGAGACAUUCUGGCCAGGAACACUGGGGAGCAGACUGUGAGAGGUACUUGUCAUCUCAGCCUUAUCUGGACACAUUUGUGUUCCUUCCCAGCAGGCACCCCAUUCCCAGGCACUGGUUGUUCUCCCCCAGGGCCUGCUAGGAUGACCCCCAAUGCACUAGCCAGGCAUCCACCCAUCCCACCUUCCAGGGACACAGGGGUCGGGUCCCCACACCUCAACAGGUGAAGCCCAUUCUUCACCAGCUGCCAGCACGGAGCCAGCCUCCUUCCCGGGAAACCAUCUGCUCAGCUCAGGUUGCCUGAAAUGGGUACCAGCAUCUGAACAAACAGUCCUGAGUGAGGCGGGGCUGGGGGUGGUGUUGCAAGAGGUAGGGCCCCUGCCCCUAGCCCUGCUCUGGAGGGAAUUCGCACGAGUUCUCACAGCUGCCGCUGUCCCAGUCCUGCCUGAUGACUGCAUAGACUUCCCACUCCUCAGCCCCAUGGCUGCCACUGCCUGCCCACUGGAGCUCUCCCCGGCCCUCCCCAGGCCACCCGUCUUCUUGUCCUGGCACAUGAGUGGCCUCUGCUUCCCUCCAGGAAGAGUCCUCCCAUGGCUCCCAUCCCUGUCACCACACCAGUCAAGCUGGGCUGUCCUUCUCAGUGUCCACCACUGCCCUAAUGCCAAGGGCAGGCUGGCACACAGUGGGUAAUCAGAAAGCAUUGCUGCCUGUGGCCGUGACUGUGGAGUGAGUGCUCCCAGGGAUGUGGCCUGUUUAGUUUGGACCAGCUGUUCUUCCUGCUCCUCAGUCGACGUGAAGGCCUGACCCAGACUUAGAGCUGGGCAGGCUCCUGCCUGGGGGCUGCCCAUGUAAGACCCAU
Molecule: long non-coding RNA, 1420 nt
Filed under: Sus scrofa (pig)
Lineage: Eukaryota; Metazoa; Chordata; Mammalia; Artiodactyla; Suidae
Description: lncRNA (ENSSSCG00070002148.1)
Source: RNAcentral